GAUUCCGUAGCACAGUUGGCGGUGCGCCCAAUUCCAAAACCGGGUGGUCGCGGGUUCUAGUCCCGUUGGAGUCC
RNAcentral lists this transfer RNA (74 nucleotides) under Morchella conica CCBAS932. It matches the Rfam family "tRNA". From Rfam's summary of the family: Transfer RNA (tRNA) molecules are approximately 80 nucleotides in length. The record is from Rfam by way of RNAcentral. Lineage: Eukaryota; Fungi; Ascomycota; Pezizomycetes; Pezizales; Morchellaceae.